Molecule: long non-coding RNA, 5659 nt
Organism: Zingiber officinale
Lineage: Eukaryota; Viridiplantae; Streptophyta; Magnoliopsida; Zingiberales; Zingiberaceae
Exons: 3
Source: RefSeq, a predicted model, not a curated record
ACUACCAUAGGGUUCCAAUAAUCUUCCCCUUUUUGAUGUGCAUCAACCCAAAUUCAAGUUAGGGUAAAAAUAAUGCAAUAAAAGUAUUAUAAAGAAAUUGCAAUAAUAACAUUUUAGGAACAUUAAGUAUAAUGUUGCAAAAUUUUUAAAAAAAAUCCCCUGCUAAACUUGUACCUAUUCUUUUCCCUUUGAUCACAUCAAAAAAUUGAAAAAUAAUAUAAGAAGUUAGAAAAUUAAUUUUAAGUGUACUUAAAAAUAUUCCAUAAAGUCAUACUUUGUACUUGACAAGAAAGAGUUUUAAAGAAAAUAUUUUGUCAAUUCUAAAAAUGCGACUAAACCUUAAAAAAUUUUAAAACUUGUUAAAUGACUAUAACAUUAAAUCGUUUAACAGUUAGUUAAUUAAACAUUAAAUUCAAUAAUUGGCUUUCAGAGGAUGAUAAUUCGUCCCAUGUGGCCUUCAAGUUCUUGUGUUUUGGUAUGUUGCCCUUGUCUUUCUCCUUCUUCUUUAGUUUAGGGCAUUCACUUUUAAUGUGCCCUUCCCCUUGGCAGUUGUAACAUCGGACCUUUCUUUUAUUCCGAAAGUGUUUCUUUACCUCCGAAAGUGUUUUUUUGUCUGUGACUUAUUAAAUUUAUUAGAUUUAAUGUAUUUACUAAAUUUUCUUACCAUUAGAGCCGCUUCGUCUCUAUCAAUUGACUCUUUAGAGUCUGGAUCGUCCGUUCUUGUCUUGAGGGCAAUGUUCUGACUCGGUCUUUUUCUUUGUCCUGCACACCGAGAUUCGUGUAAUUCAAAAGUGGAGAAAAGAUUUUCUAAAGUACUCAUCUCGAGAUCUUUGGAGAUAUAGUAAGAGUCUACUAUAGAUGUCUAUUCCGGUGCUCUCGGGAACGUAUUUAAAGCAUACCUUAGCGUGUCCUGAUUGGUUACCGUUUCUCUGAGGUUUGUUAGGAUGGUGAUUAGCUCCUUGAUUCUUUCAUGUAGUUGAGCAACCGAUUCGUAUUCUUCUAUUCGGAGAAUGUUGAUUUGGUUCUGGAGUAGAUCUCGUUUUGCGAGUUUGGCUUCGGACAUACCUUCGUGUAGUUCCAGGAACUUCUCCCAAAUUUCCUUUGUUGAUUCAUAGGCGCCCAUUCUGUUGACUUCUUACGGAGGUAGCACGCUCAGUAAAUGGAAUUCGGCUCGUCCAUUUGCUACAAAAUCUGCUUGCUCCUUUUUGGUCCAUUGAUACUCCUCUUUGUCUUUCAGUGCUACAAAUCCAUAUUUUAAUAUUAACAAUAAAUCAAAAUCGGUUUUAAAAAAUACCUCAAUGCGUUUCUUUCAAGACACAAAUUCUCCCUCAAAUUUUAGCAGGAAGAUUGUCGGUCCGACCAUCGUUUCGGUGCUUCAGUCAGCGGUUAGUCCUUCUGAGGUGGUUGAACUAUGAUACCACUUGUUAGGACCCUUGGCGGCCGACUUGUGGGAGUGAGUUGCCAGAAAAAGAAAAUAAUACCUCUCCCUGUUCUUUCAACUCUAAUUAAAAGCAACAAUAACGAUAAAUUAAAAUAACGACUAGAAAGAAGAUGCACAAGGUUUACUUAGUUACAACCCAGAUGGUUGUUAAUCCAAGGCAAGUGAAAGCGCAAUAAGUAUCUCCUUCGUUGAAGGCGGAGAAGUCUCUUACACUCGUUGAAAAGCUCAGACAGUUGCUAGGAAAUGAUUACAAGAGUUGACGUCUAUUUCUUAGGUCCGGGGGUCUUUUUAUAACUCUUGGAAAAUCUUAUUCGUGGCUGGAAGGCGCCUCCAGCGAGGCACCAACUUUAUCCUUUGGCAACGGCUAAAUUCUGCCUGUCGAAGCCGCCUUCCAUGAAGGCUCGAAGGUGCCUUCAAGUGCCUGCACUUGAAAGCGCCUUCCAGCAGAAGGCUUUAGCAGCUACCGAGCUUCACUCUCUUCCUCUGGGUCUUCCGAAUGGGUGAUUAUGGUCAACCGAAAUAGGGCUCAAGCGAACUCAUUUUUCGGCCUUCUCCUCAAGCAGACUUUCUCUUUGGCUUCUUGUCCCUCAGAACGUCGCGUACGUCCUUCUCGUCUACCAGUGUACUCUUCCGCAGCACCUCGUCCCUCGGAUGCACCAAGCCCGUUGGCUCCCUUCCCAUGCCAUCCUUCUCGCUAGUUGCGUCUUCCGCUCGAUUUCUUGUGUUCCUAAGCUCCUGCACACUUAGACACAAGAUUCAAAUACAAUAGGACCUAAUUUUAAUUUGGUUGAUCAUAUCAAAACUACCACGGGAUUUCAACAGAAGACAUGUGUUUUGUUUACCUGAAUCAGCAAUAACAGUUAUAUAGGGACAUGAAGACUUGAGUGAUUCUUAAUAUUUUGAAAACUUGAUAAAUUCAUCUCCAGAGAUAAGGAUCGAUUUAUCAUAGACAUUAUUAGUGGACACAAUAUGGGUCAAGUGUUUUUGUUGAUUUUUGUACUGAAGCUUUCUACACUCAAACUUAAUAUGACCUAACUCACUAGUUGUACAUAAUAUCACCUGAAUUCGGCGUUUAAGUUUCAAAGUCCUGAGCCACAUCCUUUGUUUCCAUUGUAACUAGUUGAUCUUCUAAGCACAUAAUUAGUAUUGCGACUUACCAAAGCACUAUUAAGUUGAACGAAUGUAGUACUUUUUGUAUGGAGAACACGACUAAAUAAAUUUUGUAUAGAGGAGAUCUCAUAACCUAAGAGAACUUGUGACUUAGCAGACUUAAAGUCAAGAGAUGGACCAGCGAGGAAGCGUAUGAUAACAUCGGCUCUUGUUGAUAUUGUUGAACCUUCACAUUAGGGCUAAAGGGCAACAAGAUAUUAAGCUCCUCAUAUGUCUUCUUGAAUGCCAUAAAAUAAUUGAUUUUUUCACAUGUUAAAAUGCUUUGCAAACCUCAUAAAUGCAGGAGAGAUUCCCUUUUCCAAAGUAUAAAAAUUCUAAAUAAUCUAUCAAUUCUUUAGCAAAUUCACAUCAAACCAAUUACCUUACUAUUAAUAUAAUUCUGAAUCGAAGGCAUAAACAAGCAUCCUUUUUAAGCCAUGUCUACUUCAAAUUAUCUUGAGGGUCAUCAAUUAAAUGACCAUCUUUAUCAAUACUUCGUAGAUAAAGACGAACCGUCUUACUCCAAUCCAAAUAGUUCAACCAUUUAGCAUAUAGUCCGUGAUUUUAGACAUCAUAGGCUCCGUCACAAUUGAAGACUUAUUUUUAGCCAUAAGACCUUUUCCCAAAGGAAGUCAAAUAAGAGAAAAAUCCAAGUACAAACAAAUAAGACCGAACCAAUAUCAGCGUCGACUGGCAUGCAGAGGCUUCAGUAAUAGGAAAAAAAAAUCACGAGUGGGACAAAGAAACUACGUCCAAGGAGAACACACGACAUCCAGGGAGAGUGCAUGACGUCUAAGAAACCAAUAUGACGGGGGAUGCUCGACGCACAGGACGACGCGACCUGUAGUCGCACAUAGGUGUUGCUCACGUUGAGGAAAGUAGGGUGACAGAUAAGGAAGAGAAAGAAGGGCUAGAGGGGGUGGUGGAGAGGUUGAGAUCGGCGAAGAGGGCAAGGAAGGCGUCUAGGGUUAGAUCAUUGUCGCGGGCCUUGUCACGAUCGAGGGCGUCAAGGACGAAUCCGAAGAAGGUUGGGUCGGUGGCGUGUAGUGACUUUUGUUGCUAGAAGCAACGCCGUUGCACAUACGUGAGAGGAAGAAGAGGUUUUGAAGUAGCUCUGAUACCAUGUUAUUUAAGAUAAAAAGAAUAUGUAUAAUUUAUUGAAAAGUGAGACAUAUUUAUAUAUAAACUAGGAAUAUAUCUUAGGAAAUAAUCUAUCUUAGGAAACUAUAAUUAGACUAAUUGACUACUUACUAAUUGAUAGAAUAUAUACAGAUAAGUCAAAAGUAACUUUUGAAAGCACCCCAUCAAUCUAGCAACUUAUUCUUUUUUAUAUUUUUCUACUUUAAAAAUCACAUUAUUUAUUUAUUUAUAUUCAUUAAAUUAAUGUUAAAAUUUUAUCAGAAGACCAUCUAUUUAAAGAGAUCAACUCACCAUGUGAAUGAGUGUAUUAUUUUAUAUAUUUUUUUUUCUGCUCAAGUGUAUCUGGAAAUUGCGACCCAAUCUCCCUCUGUACCUCCCACUUCAUUUUUGGCAGGGAGGUUAACACAAGUUGUAUCUUGGUUAUACUUCUAGGUUGAAAUCUUAUCUUACAAGGAGUUUUGCCUCUGGGAUGAUUCUAUUUCAUUUCUUAUCUAAUUUUUCCUUUAUUUAAUUUAUUGUACGAUAAUUUUAUUUCUUAGAAUUAACUUUUUGAUUCUAUUUAUCAUAUUGGCUCUAACUACCUUGUCUAUAAUGCUCAUUACCAAAUAAUUGAAGUUCUACUAGGUUGCCCUCUUGUAUCCUUGUUUGAAAGAGUUAUCUUGACUUUUUGGCAAUUUCUUUCAAUGUACUUGUCUUUUCCUUUUCUCCCCUAUGGACUUAUAACUUAGAUAUUUGAUACAAAGUGACAAAUUGCAUAGCCUAAGUAUUUAUAUCAGUUAGUUAUUGUUCUUUUUUUUUAAAAAAAAUUAUUGCUCAGUAUGUAUUGUAUUUUCAAUGCAUUUGAUCGAUCUCAUUGUAUAAGAAAUGAGUUGACUGGUUCAUUUUGUUAUUUUGCACAUAGUCCAUCUUUGGGUUUGUGCUGUGUACAUUUCAAAUUAGUUUUUUUUGUCAAAUACUUGUUCUAUAACACUAUUGUUUAGCCACACUAAUUGAUCUUUAAUGUUGGUACAACUAAUUUGCAUCAUUCAAUAUUAUGCUUCUGCUAGUACUACUGUUUCUUGCAGAAUCUAUUCCCUGGAGUGGAGUUUAUGGUUUUCAAACUUCUCCAAAUUUUCUCGUGUGCAAUAGAACUGAUGUACUCGUCAGUCAUCAGUUGCCUCGGGUAUUUUUGACACAAUGAUGACUGAUGCCAAUUAUUCCUAAAUUGUGGAGCUAGUUAGAAUAAACCCACCGAACUCUACAAGAGUACAUUUUGGAUCUGGAACAGUUUGGAAGUUGAUCUGGAUAAACUCCUGUUUUUGGAUAGAAAUACUAGAGACGGAACAUGUUACUAAUGUUUAUAUUUUUGUUUUACUUUUGUAGCAAACAGCAGCAUGGAACGAAAACUCUCUUCCUGGAGGAGACGAGUUCUAGUCGAGUUGCACAGUAAUCAAUGAUAGAACACCAAGGAUGAAAGGAAAAAAUUUUCUUCCCGAAAUUCCACAAGCAAGCGAGAUUAUCUGAACACUAUCUAUGUAAGGUCUGGCCAGAGAAUUUUGCUGGGGACUGCAGGAGUUCCUCCACAAGCUGAUGAAGAGGAAGGGCUUCAAACAUUGAACCAGGUUUCUCUUGGACCAGGUUCCAUACAUCACCAUCAGCUUUUCCGUGGAUGAGCAGGAAGCAGGUGAGUGGAUGUGGUUCUAUCUUUUGCUGCCUGAACUCUUUUUGGUAGAUUAUGAUUCCUUCAGAAGAGUUUGCAUUUGGCUGUCCAUGUUUUUGUCUACUUUUCAAAAAAAAAAAAAAUCUCUUGAAGGAUUUAACUAAUAUGCUCAUACUAUUUUGGCUCUGAUUGAUGUGAUUGUGGAGCCAUUUUGAAAUGUUGCAUUUGGAUAAUGAUAAAGUUGGGGCAUAUUAUUUAAUAAUACAUCGGUAUCAAUAUUCAAUACAAAA